CAUGUAGGCGGCUUAAUAAGUCGAGCGUGAAAAUGCGGGGGCUCAACCCCGUAUGGCGCUGGAAACUGUUAGGCUUGAGUGCAGGAGAGGAAAGGGGAAUUCCCAGUGUAGCGGUGAAAUGCGUAGAUAUUGGGAGGAACACCAGUGGCGAAGGCGCCUUUCUGGACUGUGUCUGACGCUGAGAUGCGAAAGCCAGGGUAGCGAACG
Molecule: ribosomal RNA, 207 nt
Filed under: uncultured bacterium
Lineage: Bacteria
Description: partial 16S ribosomal RNA
Rfam family: Bacterial small subunit ribosomal RNA
Source: RNAcentral